GCCUGUCUCCUGGUUCAGCCGCUGGAGGAACUCAUCAACUGUGGAGGAGCCAUCAAAACCAACCACCUGGAAAUGGAGAGAGGCACCCUGAACCAACAAACGUCCUGAGGGAUUGUCACUGGGGUUGGUACAGGGUGGAGGCACACUUAUGGAAGCCAGAGGACAACUUGUGAAAGUUGGUUCUCUCCUACCAUGUUGCUCCUGAUUGUCAACCUUGUCAGUAAGCACCUUCACCUACUGAGCCAUCUCACCAGCUACAACUGUCCCUGAGGACCGAUCUGCAGCACACAGCUGCCAUAGACAUUUUCUUUUGUUUUUGUUUGUUUGUUUCUUUUUUAAACGAGUACUAGGGAUCUAACCCAAGACCUUAUACAUACCAGGUAAGUGCUCUACCACUGAGCUACACCCCCAUCCCUGCAUAGAUAUUUUCUUGCAGAACCCAGAACAUAAACAUUUGAGGAUAAUAUGGAUAGCAUGGCUUCACAUGAGAAUGUCCCCAAAAUACCAAGGACACAUGGAUUGGUAUCCAAAGAAGUUAAAGUAUGCUCAGAUCUCCACAUGCUCAUGGGUACCUGGGGAUGGGUGAAGUCUCUUAACAACCAAGCAAAUCUGAGGGGAAAUGCAGACAAUUCAGCCUCAUCUUCCCCCUCAUCCUUUUGAAACACAGCAAUCAACAGUGUAGGAGUGGCAGGGGAAAUGCUUUCACUUACCUGGGAUCUGCAUGGCGUUGAAGCUGCUGCUUGACAUACCAGAGGAAGUGAUGCUGAGGCAGGAAGAGUGGGGCACACAGAGCCAAGAGCUGCCAGCACUGCCAUGGAACACAGACAGUGUGGGGUGAGUGCUGGGACCCUGCUCUCGAAGCUCUGAGCCACAGCACCUUCACUAUUCUUUCUCCACACCAGCAUCUCAACUCUCCUGUCAGGCCCUACCCAGGACAGCAAUCACAUUCUGACCAGGCACAGAUCGGGCUAGGACUGGAGAACACCUGCCCAAGCACCUGCUACCACCCCCUACCCUUACACAGCUCUUAGAAGUGUUCCAGCCAGUUGUUAUGUCCCCAGCCUGUGCCCACCUGCAUAAGAGAGUACUUCUGAGGCGGGCGGCAGCUGGUCUGCUUCAUGAGCUGGCAGUAGAUCUCACUCUGUAGCUCAGGGUGAACAAGGCAGACCUGCAGUGCUGUCUGCGCCAGGGACACAUGGUAGUCCACGGAGGCUGCCUCCACAGGCACGUUGAUGAAGAGCUGGCAGGACUGGAAGGGGAUGACAAUGGGCACGGGCAGGGGCAGCCCACUGGUUAUUCUUGUGACAGGCACCGGUGCAGCAAAGCCUCCGGGAAGGUCAAGCUCACCGACUGGCAGCCCUUUCUAGAGGGAACACUGUUCCUGCUCAUGAGGCCGAAAGGAUCUCCUUCAGGAGCAGAAUCACACCUUCUUUAAAUGUAAUGUUUUCAUUACAUAAGCAUUACAUUAGCUUGCCUGCAUCAGCAGAAAACAUUUUUUGCAAGACAGGGUAGCACAGACUGGCAUUUAACUCCAAGUCCUGCCUUUGCCUCCUGUGUGCUGGGAUUGUGGACAUUGUAGCAACACACACUAGCACCACACUAGCAAGGUUUUUUGUUUUUGGUUUUUUUGCCAGAAAAUGCAGAUGGGCACAAAGAAGACUAAACUAGGUCAGAAAUCUCUGAUGCCCCAAAAUGGUGCAAACUGAGCCUUUUCUGUUGUUACUUGAAGGGGAUGGCAGCUCAAGGGAGAGCUUUGGCUGGCAUUUCCCAGAACCCUCAGAACUUCCUCCUGGCCUGCAGAACGGUUAUAGUCCUGCUAUAAAGGAAGCCAUAAAGGGGACCCUGUGAGACUUUCUUGUCCUCUCCACAACCCUUGGGCCACCCCAUAAUCACACAGGUCUCCUGUGCUAUGAUGAGCUCAAGCUGUGCCAAGCAGAGCCUGGUUACAUGUGGGCACCAACAGCCAACAGGCCUGGGCUCCACUCCCAUGUUACCUUGAAGAGCUUGAGAGCCUCCGUCUGUAGGGCCUCAGAGGGCAGGGUGGUAAGGGAGUUACAUAGCCCAUCCCGACUGUAGCACAGCAUGGGGUGCCUCCAGAGCGGGGAGUCUGCACAGGGCACAGACCAGAACAGUGGCAGUUACUACAGAGGAGAGAACUCGCCGCCUACCCUACCAGCCCCAACUCUGACUUGCAAGGAAGGCAGUGGUUUAACUCUGGGAAACAUGGGUUUUUCUGGGUUGAUCAUCUACAGACUGAAGGCCAUGGGGGUGUGUACUGAAAACUGCACAUUCCCUCGCACGGCUGUUGAGGAAGGCAGCCAAAGCUUUGCUGAGGAGCCACAACCAGGCUAAGUAGACAAAGCUGUGAGUGCUGAUGAGCACAAGUGUCUGCAUGCAGGAACGGCCUUCCUUGCAGGAUCAGGUUGAAGGAGCAGAUGCAUAAGCUGAAACAGACCAGCCCUCAGAGAAGUAGUAAAAGGUAUGUGUGGUGUGCACCUCUGGGUAGUUCAUGAGGGCCCUGAGAAGUAAUUGCCAAAUAAGGACUCCCAGACAUCCCAGGAUUAGGUUAGUCUGGUCCAAAUUGAGGCUUCAUUUAUUAACAAACUCUUAAUUAUAGAUUAACCAGCUGCCUCCCCUCACUCCUACCUCUACCCCCCAAAUCUUCUGCAUAGCUAGCAAAGCUACAGAUUAAACAGAGUAGAACAUUUACCCAGGUGUCUAGAAAAUCUGUUUCCCAGAUUCCCUCACAUACAGUGGUUACCUCAGUGUUUUGGCCACAGACAGAGAGACCCAGGAGCAUGGGAUGGGAGUUCCCCAAGGCAUUUUUUUUUUUUUUUUGAGACAGGAUUUCUCUUUAUUGUUUUGGAGGUUGUCAUGGAACUCGCUCUGUAGACCAGGCUGGCCUCGAAGAGAUCUGUCUGCCUCUGCCUCCCAAGUGCUGGGAUUAAAGGCAUGCGCCACCAAAGCCCGGCCUCCCCCAGGCAUGUUUAACACAGCUUAGGUAUAGGAGUGCUCUCUUUGCUUCUUCUCCAAUAAGUGCCCUGCCACGCCCCUUCAGCCCAGGCCGCUCUUGCCUUACCUGGGUCUCCCUCACCAUCCAUCAGUUUCCCAAUGAGCUGCUCAUAAACAGUGCCCACCUUGGCGCUGCUGCCUCCUGCAGCCACUGUGAGGUGGUAGAGCCAUGUGUCCUGGGGGAGGACAGAAAAAUAAUCAGAUGCUAAUGAGGUAGAAAGAGUAGAGACAAGAGCUGGUUUUGGGGCAGGAGGUGGAGCUGAGUGACAGCAAAAAAGAAGUGUGUAAUUUUAAGAUGGGAACAGGGUAUACACCUGUCAUAGCAGAAUCUGGGGGAGCUGAGGCAGAGGGAUCUCAAGUUCAAGGUUGGCCUAGGAUUAUGAGACCCUCUCUUGGGGGCGGGAAGUAAACUUUCACUAGAUUGGCUAGCCUGAGUCAAGGUCACCACUCCAAAGAGAAAGAUAGGAUCAGGUGGAUGUAAACCUACAUUUCCAAGUUUGUGGUGCUAUAUCAUGGCCCAUGAUGAAGAGAUGCUGGUCACUUGGAAUGAGUUCAAUAGAUAUUCAAAAGUAAUAUUCCCAUUCAGUGUCCCAGAAGAAAUAAACUUGAAUUUGGAAAGCUCAGGAGAAAAGAGAGAGGGAAAUCAAAACCCAGGUCCAAGCUAGGCCACAAAGGUCCAGCUCAUCCCUUACCUUUUCAUGCUUGGUGCCGAUGAGGAGGUAGGUGGGGCUGUGCUCUGGGGGGUGGAUCACCAAGGUGCAGUGGGAGGAAAGCAACCGUCCAGUUCCUCCAGCCUCAUAGUCUUCAUCGGAGUCACAGGACCGAUCUACUUCCUCUAUGUGAGCAUCCCGCACAGGUAGGCAGCCCAGGGGUCUCUGUGGACAUGAGCCUUCCAUGAAUAGGACAACAGGUGGACAGGGGAGUCUCCCUUUUCUGAGUGCUUAGGCUGUGUGGGGCUGGAGAUCACACAUGUGGAGAGAGGGCUUGGCAAGGAGAUGGAAGCUGCAGCACUGCAGCCAGCCAGAAGCAGAAUACUGUGCUUAGGAAAGUGCAAACUGAUGACAGUGGCCAUGAUGCUGGUCACAUGCUCUGGAGGGAGUAGGACUUGUAUUUGUGAUAGGGUGUGGUGUGGUAGAAGGUAAAGCUGGGGACCGCCAUCAGUGGCAUGCAAGGUACACAGUUUGGAGGAGGCGCUGUUAGGAGCUCAAUGAAAUACCUUGUCCUCAUGGCUCCGGUAGUAGUAGAAGGUUUUCCCAACAAGGGCACACCAGACCAGCUUGGAGUGGCCAUGCUUUACCUGUUAAGUGAAAUGACUUUAUUAGAACCAGGACUCCAAAAUAAAUCCAGGGCUAGCCAAUACAGGCCACAGGGAAGGUUGCCAAAGUCAGGUCUCCUUUCAUAGUGAGACUGCCACGGUAGGUACUCUGUGGUAAGCCAGUCACAACUGGGCCACUCAGAGACCUAUGACCUGCCACUGACAGAUUCUCCAGGUAAUCAGAAUGCAGAUAUGGGAAUAAUCUGCUAGUUGGCAUAGGCCAGAGCUGUAAGGAUGCUAUGAGGUAAAUAAAGGCCUUGGCAGUCUGGAGCCUUAAGUAAGGUACCCUAACCACCAGGGGACAGCAACUGAACACUCAUAGAGAUGAAGGGUGGGCUUCUGGGAGGCAGAGGCUCAGAAGGAAAGAGUCUGAGCACCAAGCUUGCUGGGCUCAGUAACUAUCCCUGAUCUAACCCACAAUAACUCACCCUGUUAGUGUGCUUCCUAGUUAACUUCCCUUUGCUGGGCUUAACUAGGGUCUCUGCUUCUAGGAAAACCCUAGUUAAAAUGUCUUUAGGCAAGCUUGGGAUACUAGUCUUUGAAUGACAGUCACACUGGCUUUAUUCAGGUCUUUGUACUGUUAAUCCUGACACAGCUAGUUACACUAGGAGGGAGGGGAGGGAGCGGACACAACAGAUGGGAGACAGUGCCUAAUGUCCUAAACAUUAAGUAAAAACUUUUCUUUCCCUUCUGUCUUGAGAAGUUAUUCUAAAAGCCCACAUCUCUGUUUCCAGAAUCACCACCAUCAUUUUGUAUGCUCAGACCACGUUUGAGGGCCCACUGGUUAAGCAGUUCUUGGAGAAAGAGCCCAUCUCUGGGUACACCCAUGCCUGGCUUCCAUUACUUCCCUAUCAGUUCCACCUUGUACCUUGGUCAGCCAGCCCUUCACAGUAGGUUUGGCGCCCCCUUGAUGCAGAGCUGGCGGUCCAAUGACCUGCACCUUCAGAAGGCUCUGUAGGACACGGAUCCAUUCUUCCAGGAGGCUGGGGGACUCUGCUGUUAGGUAGUAGGUUUUGUUCUCAGAGAUGAGCUGUGGGGAUAGAGAGGGGGGAUUAGAGCCAGUGAAAGACAAAUCCUUCGACCUACUGGGCCUUCCAAAAUGCCACCUAUUCUCUCCCUUCUUUUCCUUUUUGACUUUCUUCCCUUCCCUUCACCUCUCAUUCUGUUUCAUGCUCACAACCAAAGAUCAUAUCCUACUCCUGGUAUGAAAUCAUUCACUCGUGCUUAUUUUUGUCUCAUCUUUGCUUCAAUCACAGUCAUAUCUAAACCCUACACCAUACUGUAUAUCUAAAAUCCAGGACAGCUGCCACGAGAAGGCUCACCUGAAAUGUCUGUGCUCCUUCCCCUCGAACAAUCUGGCAAUGGGAGUUCAGAUCCACUUGACCUUGAGGUUUCCGGAUGACAUCACUCUGUAAAGGAGGGGUAAAGAGGAGAGCAUUGGAGUUUGGAGGCUUCUCAGAUCAUCAUUUUUUAUUCCAAGUUACAGGCGCAAAGUGAUUCCCAAAAUUCUCAGGCUAUGGACAAUGAAUGACUUGUUCUAGAUUCUUCUAGCAAAACAAAGCCAUAAUUAGGAACAUGAGACCCUCUAAAGCAGGCCUCAAGAGAUCUCAGAAGAGUCAGCCUCUAAAAUUGGAUCAGAAGCUACUAGGUUUCUGUUGAUCAAUUAUGUGUGGUGACCAGUGCCUAUCAUCCCAGCUACUCAGUAGGCCUGGAAGGAGGGUGAGGCUGGUCUAGGCAACAGAGCAAGACCCAGCUCAAAAAGAAAACAAAACCAAACCUUUCUAUUCAAUCCUUACACCCACAGGUAUGGCAAAUAAAGUGGCAAUAAGUCACUAUUAUCCUUUCCAGCACUGCUGCAGACAUCAUUAAUUGAUAGUGCCAUGUUUCUCAUGGAGGAAUUGAGGUCCAGCAUCCUUAACACAGAGCUGGAGACAGCUCCAACCAAGCAAACAGCUAUACAAGAGACAAAUCCAUUUUUGCCUUCUUUAAAACAUGAUGAUUGGUUCUGCCAAACUAGUUCUCAACAUUCAAGGCCCUCAAUUCCAGACACUGGAGGAAAAAAGGGAAGCAAUGGAUAUUUCUGUAGUACAAUCCAGAAAAGGUAAGGGCAGCCUGGAAACAUCCCUUUACAAGGCCAGACAUUAGAAGAAAUCAGUUCUGAAGGAAGAGGAAAUUGUCUUGAUAGCCUCCCCAGCUUGUUUCAAAAACAGGUGACCACCUCAGAGUCCCCUGUGUGGUUUAGCACCUCCAAAGGCCAAUCAGGCUGCCCAGUCUGUCACCUGGCAGGCCUCAUGCCACACUGUCCUUCCUCCAGCCCCUCAUACAGUGUGUGUCUGGGCUGUAGUCCCUGUCAUUAUGUCCUGGGGAGGGCCUCACCGGAGACUUGUAGUAUAGGAUUUGUCCCUGUCUCAGGACAAACCAGCGCCUCUUCCAUGUCUUCACUCGGCUCCCCAUUUUCAGCAGGUAACCUGACUUCUCCAGUGCCUCCUGAAGUGGAAGCAAGGAGGAAAGAGGGGACAAAAAGGGAGAGUCACAUGAGGCUCCUGAGGGUUGGAAGGCAAGGAGGGAAAGGGACACAAAGGGGAAGUCACAUGAGGCUCCUGAACACCACUCAGGACAAAAUGGUCUAGACCACUACAUCAUUUUUUUAAGAAAAAAAUCAUUGACCACCUAUGAAUGUUUAUUUCCAGGUUCUGUACACUGAUGAGAUCCAGAAGAGAAGUGAAUUAAGAGUGGCAAUCCUACCAUAGAGGGAUCCCAGUGAUGACUGGGGAAGGGACACCUAGCCCCCACGAGAAGGUGGUAUAUCAGGGCUGCAAGUAGGAGAGAAGCUGGCCAGGGAAGGCUUCAGGAAAGAGUGGCAUCUAAACUAGCCUACAGGCUGGUGGUUCUCAACCUUCCUAAUAUUGUGACCCAUUAACAGUUCCUCAUGUUGUGGUGACCCCCAACCGUAAAAUGAUUUCAUUGCUACUUCAUAACUGUAAUUUUGCUGCUGUUAAUAAUCUUAAUAUAAAUAUCUAAUAUGCAGGAUAUCUGAUAUGUGACCUGCUAUUCUAAAGCAAAGGCCAGAUUCCUUUACCAAGACCAGUUGAGAGAAGGAAGGCCAUUCAAGGCAUCACAGAUAGGAGAAAGCAGGUAGGUCUCUGAGGCCCAGGCUUCCCAGCCAUAAACAUGGUCCCACAAUAACCAUGAGGACCAUGAGGCAAACGAGACAUGAAGCACAAGCCAAACACUGCCCCAGCACCUGGCCUGCUAAAGCUUAACUGUUAGUCAUGGUGGCAUCUGAGGUCAGGCUGAAGAUUAAACAAGGUGACAGGUGCCAUGAUCCUCAUGGGGUCUGAGGCACUCCCUGGACUUGGGCUCGUCUUUCUCCAUCAUGGGGUCUGUGCACAGCUGUCUCUGUUAACGCUUCUAGAGCCUCCUUCCCACUACCAUCUUCAGGUCCUUCCUCUCUCUCACUGCUUCUUGUAUGGGUACUGAGGCCCAGGCAGCCUCUGCUCAGGUUUGCUCCUGCCCAGGGCCCCUUCCCCAUUCACACACAGGGCUAUGUACUCUGCUCACCCCAUCAGUGGAGUACGAUGAAGUCCGCUGCAGUUUGUGUUCAGGCUCUGAGUAGUCACUGUCUAGUGAACAGGCAUCAGGAGGGAUGGCGUAGUCACCCUCAGAACUCAAUGAGGACAUAGAUACUCCUGGUCACAGGGGAAGGAAUCAAGACUGGGGUCACACACCCCUCCCAAUACCCAAAUGGCCAGAAAGUGUAAGGCUUCCAUUCUCCACUGGGAUCCCCUGAGUCUAGAGCUGAGGGUAAAACUGGUAGGAACCCUGGUAGAGAUGAAGUAGGAAAAGACUGAGAGUCCCCUCUCCUCUGUGUACCUCUCUUGAUAGCCCGGGGGCUUCCCAGGCCACUGGUCUUCCUAUACUCAGAGCAGGGGACUGACAUCCGGAAACUUGCUUGAGAGCUGCAGUCGUCAUCAGAUCCAGAGGAUUCAUCCACAAAAGGCACAUUGCUGAUCUGUGUGGCUUUCUGCAAGACAGACACCUCCCCAACUACAGCUCAGGCUUCCAAACAAGCUGCUUCCACACAACAGCUGGACCUAGUUUGAAAAAAUAAAAAAAACCCACACGUGGUGGGCUGAGCUGCCUGACCAUGGUCACUGCUGAAGACACCUGACCUUCAACCCCAGUGCAGGCAGCCCUCACUGCCUGCUAUAUACCCCAGGGAACAGGAGCCAGGCCCGCCAAAGACAUUUUAGGACUUCUUGCCCCUCGUGUACUCACCGCACCAGGCAGCAUCACUUUGGGACGACACAUCUGACAGCUGCAUGCCUGAUGUGGCCAUGGCAUAGAUCCGGCUCUCCUGUAACAACAAGUCCAAGAUGUCAGGACUGCUCACCUCAGCCCCUCCAUGACCGUGGAGGGAAAGGUGACUUAGGGGUAGGCAGACCUGGGUUCACCACCCAGGACAGGCUGGUCACUGGCUGAGGAAUUUUAAGCAAAUUUCUUCAUUUCUAAGCCUCAUUUUCCCCAGCUCUAAAAUACUCCUGACCUUUUAAGAGUCUGCUUAAUGCAAUCAACUGAUGUAGUUAAUUAAUGUAUAAUAUAAACACUUCAUGCCUGGGGCAUAACCCAUGCCCAGCAGAUUUUCAUUCCCUCUGGCCUCCACUUGAGGCAAAGGAGGUUCAAAGAGAGCUGGUCAGUAAAUUGUCUCUCCAUUUCUUGGAUUCUUGCCUAUUUUAGUGACUCCUAGGUCCCAGGGUCUCACCCCAGAGGUUGAGAGUGUUGACAGUGAGGAAGGGAGAACCCCAGGAAUAGAGAUGUUUGUAAUUCAGCUGUUUGAAGGCUAGGAUACAUAGCUUCCUACAGUAGCAGGGUGCACAUGUCAGGCUUCCAAGGCCAACCACAAAGCUACUGUAGCCCAACAGGGUUCCAGACCCCUAAGGUAAAGCACUUCUGCCAAAAAUUCUGGCACUAACUAUGCAUGCCUUUGGGUCUGACGUGAACUCAAGAGGAAGAGAGUUUGGCUCUCAACAGCCAGGAAGGCCUUUCCCAGGCUGCUCCAGGGCUGUUUGCUCUAGAAGCCCUACAGUGAAUACAGGCAACUCUUGAGGCACAGAGGCUGACCAGUAAAGUCAGCCAUGCUGGACCAGAGAAGCAACUAAGGGCCACGCUGGAAGGGACUGGGAUGAAUACAGGCCCCAGAGUAGCACAUUGAUAUGCUGAGGUAACCAGAGUUAUGGCAAGACAGGUGGAGGACAACAGAGAGACACUCGGGCAGGGCAGUGCGGGGGCAGGCUGCCUAUGCUCAGGCAGGGCAGAUACAUCAAUGUGAGGAGGAACUGGGCGCAGAUCUCUCUGUUCAUAUUGAUCAUGGACUUACACCAAGGACAGGCUCCCACUUCAUAAGGAAACAAAACUCAAGGUUGAGGAAAGGUCAAACAAAAGAUAGCUCUGUUGGACAAAGGGGCACCAAAUGUCUCCCUCAUGAAGUUGUUGAAAGGCUUAGUGAAAAAGAGCUUUACAAACUCGAAAGGCAGGUGUACUGAUCCACCAAUUACUUGGACAGAAAAUGCCCUUUUCUGGAUUGCAGGCUUUGCUCCUGACAGUUACUGCCCAGCUGGCCCUGCCUGAGGGAGACACCUAAGCUUCGUUAGGGAGCUUGGGUGAGCAAGCAGUAUGCCUUCUUUCCCUCAGGAGCAAGUUACAAAGGGGACUGUAAACAGGAGACCAAUUCUCCUCAACCAGCAUGCUGAUAAUGGGGAUUCCUGGAUGCCAGCAGAAGCAGGAAGACCAGUGUUACUCCUGACACUGAGCCUGAACACCGUCACCCUGGAGUGCAGCUGGCAACGGGCCACAUUUGAAGUCAACCUUGCUCAACACUCUGUGACUCAAGUCUCACAGGUGCUCUGGUAGCAAUCCUCAAGCUGGCUGGUAGUCCAUUAAGGGUACAGUCAAAAGCCUGGGUGUGGAGCUCCUUGAACUAGCACUUCAAAAGGAAACCCGGAAGUAUGCUGCUGAAAUUAGGGGUCUCCAACCCACCCGAGAGCAGCCAUUUUUUCUGCUGCCAGGAGCAGAUGUCCUUGCACAUCUGUAGCACUGGGCUUGAUUAAAAGAUUGACAUAUGUGCCCAUGUCCCCAGGGGUGGUGCAGCUAGAGUGCUGGGGCUGUGCUUCUAGGCAGCCAGACCUCUACUGGAAGCCUGGUUCCUUCACUAACAACAUGACUUGGGAAGUGGCUGAACUGUAGAAAGCAGUUUCUUAUCUAUGAAAGGGAGAAAUAGCACCCAAUCCCACAUAUAAAUGAGGCUAUUCCCGAAUGUCAGGCUCUGUGCCAGGCCUUCAUGUCAUCCUCACCACUGACUUGUGACCCAGUCAUGUUCUACCCUCCUUGUUUUUUUAUUUUAUUUUGUUUUUUAUUUUAACCUUUAUCACAGAUGUCAAAGAAGCAGAAGAGUAGAAAGCAUGACCUCCGUCCCCAUGACUCAUUUUCACUCUGUAUUAAUGCUCAGUCUUAUUUUAUCUGGAUUCCCCAUCUCCACUCUGGAUAUGUCAUUGUGACCCAUAAGGAAGCUAAGGCUCAGAGACAAAAGUAGCAAUAACAAUAGACUACUAACCACCUACAAGCACUUGUUCACUACAUAUUUUAGUCAAUUAUUUAGUAUGUAGGGAGGUUUGUCUGCAUGUAUGUUAGUACACUCCUUGUGCAUCUGGUGUCUGAGGAGGCCAGAGGAGGUCACUUGAUUUCCUGAAACUGUAGUUAGAAACAGUUGUGAACUGGGACCAUGUGGGUACUGGGACUCAAACCUGGGUCCUCUGGAAGAGUUGCACAAUCCCUCCAUCCCCUCAAUAUAAUUUAAUCUUCCCAGGAACCCUAUUAGCUGGACUAGCAAGAUGGCUCAGUGGGUAAAGGCACCUGCCAUCAAGCCUGAAAACCUGAGUUUGAUUCCCAGAAUUUGCAUGAUAGGAGAAAACGGACUCCUGUGAGGUGUCUGAUGUUCACAAGGGCACCAUGGCACACGACCCCCCCCAAAUUAAAUGUAAAUAAAUAAGGAAGAACCCUACUAAUAAUCACUAUCACCCUCCCUUUAAAGAUAGGAAACUGGGGCCAUGGGCUUAGAAACUUGCCCAGGUUCACAGGCAGAAAUUCAACACCAGUGGCCUGAUCUGGGGUACAGUUCCUCUCUUCCACAUAUGUCGCCUCCAAAUCAAAGAGAACUGAAGAAAUCACAAAGCACCCAGCUUGGCACAUGGCACAUAUCAUUUCAAAUUUUGGCUCUGCCCUGCCUGGGUGAGUGGGUCAGGCUGGCCUGUCUACCAGUCCCCCACAAUGGCUGUGUGGAUGAACCUUAUAGCUCAUGGGCCCCAGAUAUUCUCAGUGAAGACCAUGCCUAUGGUUGGUUCUGCCCUCUGCCCAACCCUGAUGAAGUCACUUACCCAGGAUGGAAACCGGUGCAGGGGGGGCGUGGGUGGCUUCUUCUCCAGUU
Non-coding RNA from Cricetulus griseus (Chinese hamster), 11807 nucleotides. The record is from RefSeq and is a predicted model, not a curated record. NCBI's taxonomy places the organism in Eukaryota, Metazoa, Chordata, Mammalia, Rodentia, Cricetidae.